UUCAUGGAUGAAAUGAUGCAAUGUCUGAGAUUUGCUUCAUAAUGAUACAAAGUUGGGAAAUAGAUGAAUUCAUGAGUCCCAUGAAUUCAUAAUUACUGAAACUGUAUGAUGGGUACAUAAGUGUUGAUUUCAUUAUAAUGUCUACUUUAGUAUGUUAAAUUUGUCCUUACUCAAAGUUUUUUUUUUUUUUUUUGGUGAGGAACAUUUGCCCUAAGCUAACAUCUGUGCUAAUCUUCCUUUACUUUGUAUGUGGGAUGCCUCCACAGCAUGGCUGAUGAGAGGAGUAGGUCCACACCUGGACCAAAACCGAACCCAUGAACCUGGGCCACUGAAGUGGAGCGGCAGCUCCUGACCUAGAUAUACAUCUGCUCCAUCAGCUUUUCAAUUGUACUUGGAUCUUGGCAAAUAGCUUAACUUUGUCAAGGUUCAUUUUAUGGAAAAAUGCCUUUUUUUAAAUGCUUAUGGGACUAAUGACUAAGCCCCUCACCUGAGAUUGUUUUAAAUUGUUAGCUCAGAUUAGUACAGGUAUGCUGUGUUCUCCUGAACCUCUAAAGUCACUAAAAAAUAUCAUAUUGCCCACACAUAACAAAUUUAAAUUCUGCACUUAAAACAAACUUGUUUUCUCAGUUCUAAAUUUGUUUUCCUUUUUAUACUUACGGAAUUUUAUUUCAAGCUUUUCAUUAUAUCUAUAUUUGUUUGCAUCAUCCCUUCUCUUAUUCUUCCAUUUUAAAAAAUUCUGAAAAUAUUAAGACGUUGGUCUACCACUGCCAAGUGCAAGCGUUUUUAUUAUUUUAAGUUUUAAUACUAAAAUUCCACCUCUCCCCCUGACUUACAUAGUAAUCUAAAGCAAAGUUCAUGACAUCUAGAUCUCAGCACUUCUCUGAUAUUUACAGUAACCAUAAGUCGUCAUAAACGGUCAAGAACCAUAUAAUUGUGUAUUUAAAACAAAAAUAAAUACAGUCAUAUUUUUUAUGUCUCUAUAUGCACAGAUUAAAGGAUGGAGUUCAUUUUUCGCUCUUCUUUCCCAGCUUCCCGACUUCCAGGGCAGAUGUUCUCUAUCUUGCGAUGAGGGCGUCACAGAUUUCGCUCAGUGGUCUUCGCCAGCAUGCGGUUGCGCAUCUGGUCCUAACUAAGGCUUGCUCGGAAAGCCGCGGGUACACUAGUCCCACCUCCAGACCUCGGCCCUCCUCCUUCGCCACUUUGAGUUCUCUUCGGCCGGUGCCUGGCUUUUCAGUUCUUACUCUGUAAUCCUCAGCGCGGUUUCAGCGAGUCCUUAUUCGUGUGGUCGCCUUGGAUCACCUCCUUCUGUUUCUCAGAUUUCCCCAUGGACUUCAGGUCUGCAGUAAGUUGGCCUUUUUCUUUCAGAACCUUCUGGAUUUCUUUGGUAAGUUCCUCGUUUCCCAGCCUGCCCCAUGGCCUGGUAUCAGAUGCGCUCACCCGUCUGUGAUCUUCCCCAUCUCCAGAGCCUCCUCUUGGAGCUCCUCACACCUGCUCUUCGCCAACACGUGCUCCUCCUCUGUCGCCUCCGCCGCCACGUCCAGCUGCUUCUUGCGGUCCUGCAGCGUGUCCAUGGGCUCCCAGGCCGGGGACACGUGGGGCGGCCGGAGCUCCUAGGACAUCCGGUUCCGCCGGAUUCCUCAGGGGGACUUCCUGCCGAAGGGGCGUGACCGUGCGUGCCCAGCUGGAGGGCUCUGAGGGCUGUCUUUCAGCGGCUGGGCGAACUGGAGGUGUAACGACUGCGUCCUCCAGGCCGACUCCUUAAAUGGGGAGGCCCCAAACCGCUCCAGGGCCGCCCCUGGGCGCGGACCGACAGCCUCGGCCGCCCGAAGGUGCCGCUCCCUCAGGUCGGAGGCAGCUUGGACGGCUCCCUGCCAGGACUGCCCCCCGGGCCCGCCGGCGUCCCCACCACAGGAGUGUCAGCGUGAGGCUGCAGGUACCCGCGGCUCAGUGGGGAGUUCUCCAGGUCUGUUGGUUGACCGCACUCAGCUAGGUGGUCCUCUGUUGGAGUCUCUCAUACAGUUGCAGUCAUAUAUCGUCUGGGACUGAGUCUACUGAAGGCUUGACAGGGCUGGAUGUCCAAGAUGGCUCGCUCACAUGGCUGACAGUUGAUGCUGGCACUUGGUGGGGAAAUCAGACUCCCCUCACACAUGGGCUUUCCAUGUACCCAGGAUUUCUCAGAAAAUGACGCCGAGUUCCAAAAGAGAUUGUCCCAAGAGUAUGUCAAGGAAAGGAAGAAGUAGAAGCCCCCAGAUAAGUUGAGAGUUAUGUUCGGAACUGACACAGCAUUUCUUCAGCCGUAUUUUAUUGCUCAAGGCAGUUGUGAGUCCUGACUGCAUUCAAGGGUGUGGAGAAAUACACUCCACCUUUGUGGUAGAGUGGAGUUCACAUUGCAGAAGAGCCUGUGGAGUGGCAAAUGUUGUAGCUAUUUCUGGAAAAUGCAGUAGGUUACAGUCUGCUCUCUUACCAAAAUAAUUCACAUCUCUCCCACGAGCAAAAUACACUCACCUCCUCCCUUAACCUCGCUAAAGUCUUGUAAUCAUGGCAGCAAAUCCAUGAGUGCAAAAUCUCACAUCUAAACCAGGUUCAUGUGCUGAUUCCUCGGCAACGGUUUCCCAAGUAUUUCCUCUUGAUCAAAAACCUAUAAAAAAUGUUAUUUAUCCCCUACAGACCCAAUAUACAAUGUUUAUCUACAUAAGAUAUCCACAAUAGAUCCUCCUAUUCAAAAAUGCGCACGGGAUAGGAGGCUUAUGAACAGUCACUUAUCUAUUGCAAUUUUGGCACCCAGCACAGCACAUGCCCCCACUUCUUUGAUUAGGGUGUCAUCAUGCUCUCUGGCAGUAGUGCUCAGGGAACCUUGGCUCUGUCCUUUGAGUUAUCCUUCAUUCUCCAUAUGAAAUAGCCCGUGUUUGCAGUGGAAACGUCAGGGCCUCUUUCUGUAAUGAACUGUCUCUGUCCUUUUUAGUCCAAACUGAUAUAAUUCCUUUUGAAAGUCUAUGGAUUUCUUAUAUAUUGAAGUAUAAUCAGUUUCAUUAGACAGAAUGCACAGCUACCAUUUUUUCUAAGCCAACCCCCUUUCUACUUUGGCUUGACUGUAAAGCUGCAUGGGACAAAUAUUCUUGAGAUUCUUAGAAGCUUUUUUGUCUGGUUCAAAGAGUCUAUGAGACAUCACCUUAAAUUUCUGAAGCUUCAGGAAAGGGGCUAAAGUUCAUACCCUUGAUGUUGAUUUUGCUCUAAGACCGUGUUUUACUGCCAGCCCCCUGUGUUUGUUUCCCUCAAGUCCAUUUUUCACUUUGAGAACUUUUUGUGGUUUGGAAACACUGAGGGUGAGAAACUUCUGUUUUAUUCCUUCUGAAUUCUACUCAAAAUCUAAAUAGUCCCUUCUUUAACUCUUGUGUAAAUUAACUAUCUAUAUUUUAAUUUUAUUUAAUAUAUAAUUAAAUUGUCUUUAAUUCUAUCUAUAAAUUAUCAUAUGAAGCUAAAAGAAAUCAGGUGCCUGAAAAUCUCCUUCACUAGAGCCAUUGAUGUAUUAGGUACAUUUUCUUUUUUCCUGGUUGCCACAGACAGCGAUUUUACUAAACUUCCUACCAUUACAUAGAUGACUCAUCUUUUCUCCAUCAUCCAAUAACAAUCCUCACUGUCAUUUCAAUCACAUGAAUAGUUUUCUUAUGGCCCUUCAGGCCCCUACUCACUGCCUAGUCCUAAAGCCAAUGCCAUAUAUUUUAAGUUUUUAUUGUAGCAGUAUUCCACUUCUAGGUACCAAAUUCUGUCCUGGUCAUACAUUGGUGGGUCAUAAACUAUCAGAAAACAUAGUACUUUUAAACAACAAUUUAUUAUUAUCUCUCACAACUCUAGUUUGACUGGACUCUGCUAGGUGGCUCUCCCUUGGGGUCUUGCAUAUAGUUGGAGUCAAAUGUUGGCUGGGGUGGAAGUCAUCUGAAGUCUUGACUGGGCUGCACGUCCCAGAUGAUUCACUCACGUGGCUGGCAGUUAAUGUUGGCUGAAAGUUAAGCUGGUCCUGUUGACUGAAGGAAAGCUUCUCCAUCUGACUUUGGCUUUUCACAACAUGGCUACUGGUUCUGAGAGAGAGCAUCACAAAAAUAUGCAAGAAGUGUCAGGAAGCAGGAACUACCAGACCUGUUGAGGGCUGUGCCUAGAACGGGCAUAAUGUCGCUUCUGCCGUAUUCUAUUAGGCAGAGCAGUUAUAGGGCCUACCCGAAUUCAAGGUGGUGGAGAAAUUGACUUCACAUCUUGUUUGGAGAAUGCCACGGUCACAUUGGAGAAGAUCAUAGAGAUUGAGAGAUUUUAUUGCAGCUCUAUUUGGAAAAUACAAUCUCCACAUAUGGUAACCAGGCCAGGGCUGCUUGUUCAAGUGAGUGUUCUCUUUUAUUAUCUUAUACUUGCCCUCUUCCUCUGUGUUCACCUUCCUUGCCACCUCCUUUUCCAUCUUGUUCUGACAUAACAACCUUGCCAAAAGUUGUUGCUACAGUUUAGAAUGGAUGUGUGGGAGAUUCUAGACCUUGGGGAUGAAUUUUAUUUCCUAUAAUGUCUUUCUAGAUAAAUUUUCUCAAAUGGUGGCACAUGUCAUCUCAACGGAAUUGUAAAUUUUGAUAUUUGCAUGGCUUAGGGCAAAUAGGUCAUUUUAUUUGUUUUGGCUUUGGGUACUAGUCUACUGCAAAUAAGACAAAAGAAUGGUCUAUAUGUUCUGUGUCUGAUCCUUUCCAUCAUUAGUGCACUGUGUUGUGGUUUGGAACCAAAGGUCAAGUUAUAAUUAAUAUACUAUUUUGAUUCCUUUACUUCUUAGUGUGUAUUCCUCUGUUUGAGUCCUCUUGGGAAGUAGUGUGACAACCAGGACCAAGUUAGGACCCAGGUUAAUGUGGAUUUCCUGGUCAAAAGCCUGGUGACAUCUUAGGAAUAUCAUAUGAAUAUAUUCACAUAACUUGUAAAAAUCUUAGUAAAAGGCACAAAGAAAAGGAACCAAUCUCUGUGUAUUGGGCAAAAUAAUGACCCUUUGAAACAGUGUUCUGUAAGAAACAGGAGAACUUUAUAAAUCUUCAACUCAUAUCUAUAAUAAAAUUCAAAAGGACAUUUGAUGAGAUUGAAUAGGUUAAAAGCAUAAUCAUGAAAAAAAGUUUAAAAAAGAUUAUUGUAGAAGGAAAAUAUGAUUGACUAUUUUUGCUUAAGAAGCACACUGGAGGGAGUAAAUGUAAGAUAGAAUAGUAGGAAAACAAGUUUUGUAAAAUUGAGGGCAAAGUUAGGAAGUUGAAGAAUCAAGAAAGCAAAAUAUAAAAUACCACAAUAGAUUUCAUAUAUCCAAUAUGGUCUCAUUUAAUUAAUCUUUUCACUUAUUUAGUGAGCAUCUAUUAUUUAUAUCAAGCACUGUCCUAAUUGCUUAGAACACUGUCCUUUUUCUGAAACAGAACAAGGUCAAGCAAAUGAAACAGAAAAUUAAGUCAUUAUGGUAAAAGAUGAUGAAUUAUCUGAUUGGGGAAGUACAGAUUGCUAAGAAAAGAAUGAAUAAUGGCUGUAUGAAAGUACUCUUAAUAGGGUCAGAAAGUCGUCUUAGAGGAAGUGAUAUUUAAAAUGAGAUCUGAAAUAUGAGUAAUAGGUAAAGAAGGCAGUGAUGUGGAGAGAGAGUUUCAGAGGAUAUACCAUACAUAUAUCCACUUAGGUGCAUGUGGAGGAGAGAACAUGGCACAUUCAAAGAAAUGAAAGAAUUGCUGUUGAUAGUUGAACAGUUGAUCUAUUUCCUUCAGCUGUGUGAUUCAUUGGGUUAAGCUGAGUUAGGCCAGAUACUUGCAAACUCUGAGUCCAGCCCCAAAUUAAGAACCAACAGCACCGCCCAGUGUGUAGAGACCUACAUUUCUUAGUAUAACAGCACAAGAGGUGAGUGCACACAGUUAACUGAAAAUUCUUAGAUUUCACAGGGCUUGCCCACAGCCUUAGAAUGGCCAUAUACCUUCUUGCUACUUAUUUUUGACCAUAGGUCUCAUUUCUUGGAUCUGUGGCAUCUUCUAUUACUUUGAUUAGAAUAAAUUCAAAACAAAUGCUUUCCAAAAUUAACUUUAAAUUAAUUUAAAAUUUUCUGUUAGGUAUCUUUACAUCAAAUCUGUCCUUUUCUCUGAACCUUGAACAUUCUGUUGUCCAUUUUUUACUUAGUGAGGCACUGCUUGCAUAUUUUAACAUAAAUUCUAGCAAUCUGGGAAUUUUGUAGACAGAAAAUACAUUAAUCUUGUGUAAGACACAUGUAUCAUGAAAGAGUUUAGAAACUGUACCUCUAACAUACUCUUCAUGAAAAAUGUCUCGAAAAAGAAGGCAAACAAAUAGAGUGGGAGCUAAUUAGAUGAAGUUCAUUGUCCUUAUACCACAUGGUAGAAGUAUUGUGAAUAAAGUAAUUGAAAGGCAGCAAGGAUGACUGGAGCUAGGAGAGAAGGAAAUAGUAUGGCAAGAAAUAGACCUAAAGAGAUGGGAAUGGUAAAUUAGAUCAGACCCUGGUAAACUCUUUCAUAAUACACGUGUCUUACCUUGGUGACAAACUUCAUGCUUCACUUCUUUCUUUAGCUUGGAGAAAUAUGUACAUGGAAAAGGAGGAAAACUCAGGUUUCCCUGUGUCUGUUAGAUAUAGCAUCUGACACUAAAUCUGGAUUACGAAAAAUGCCAUAUGGAGACCAAGUGAUAAAUGGAAUUUUGGUGUACGUUUAUCUCACAGUGGGUUCAGUAGGUCUGCAGACCUGCUUUGUCAUUAUUUACCUAUUUCUAAUUUUUUUGGAAUGAGACAGCUCUACCUAGCAUCUGGAAGAAGCCUCGCAGUGAUACUUGAUCAUUGAAAUAAGGCAUAUUACGGCAAGAAGGGCCAGGUGGAAGACCCUAAAACUGCAGUCUUUCCCCUGCCAAUAGGAUAGUAAAUCAGAAGCAACACCACAUUCCUGGAAGAAUUGCAAAUAAUGCCAUUAAAGAUUUAAAAGGUCCAGGGAUGGUAGAACCUAUUAUUUUCCCACCUUUAGACAUAGAGUGGGACAGACAAAGGUAGACAGUAAAUCUGAUUUGGGGGCAUAGACUGAAAAUGACCAACAAUAUCUACCAAAUAACUACUAUACCUAGCUUAUAUGCUACACUGAGAAAUCUAAAACAAUUACCAACAUUAUGGCUAGACUUCAUCUUAGUGAGAGACUGGAAUAUCAUUGAGUGAUAUUAAAUCUUCAUAUAAAAUAAUUCCCAAAAAGUAGAGAAU
Equus caballus (horse) is the source of this 7228-nucleotide long non-coding RNA. Lineage: Eukaryota; Metazoa; Chordata; Mammalia; Perissodactyla; Equidae. The record is from Ensembl.